UUAAGCCUUCUGUAGCUGUUGGUCCAGUGCAAAAAGGAUGAGAAAUACAAUUCCCAUUGGGGCAGGGGAGCAGCAACACUCAGAGGAAAGUUCAGGUGGGAUCUGCGGUCCUGUGCAACUGAGUCGCUGUCCAUUAUGAAGAGCUCCUGAGGAAACCCGGCUGUGCCCUCCGCUAAUCUCACCCCUCCGAGCUGGGUGCCCCACGAUGGGACGGGACCGUCCGCACGGCCCGGGGCUGCCUGGCUGCGGGUAAUCCACGCAAGGAUUGUGCUCCCAUGUGCAGUAAUCACCCUGCACAAUUUGGCAGCAGUGUUAUCGGCACUGACCGGUGUCUGGAGUGAAACAAGUAAGACUUUAGGAGGUGACUUCCAUUUUGUGACUGCAGCACUUCAGCAUGUGGCUGCCUUCAUUUACUGGAGUAUGCUGGCCAAGACUGCCUUGUUUGUGGAUUACCCAGGUGUGUAUUUUCACUUUUUAAAUCAAAAGACUGUGUGGACUGGCCCAGCAGAGAUGUUAAAUUUAACCUGAUUCUAGUCUAAGAUAGACCUGAGUAAGGUUUAGUUUAAACAAACCCACUGUUUGCUCGGCUUUUGCCUUUGCUGGCUGACCUGAUUUAGGAUCGCGUAUUGUGUUGAGCCAGUAAAACUGUGUCUGUAGCCAAACCAUGUGUGCACAAUACAGUCCAUGUUGCCCUGUUGCCAGUUGUUCCUCCAGCAGUGGGUGCAGUGUGGGCUUUCAGCUGUGGAUCUCUUGGCCUUGGAAGUGGACCCUGCCAAGAUGCAGGUAUUGAAUGAAGCACCACAAUGG
RNAcentral lists this long non-coding RNA (807 nucleotides) under Numida meleagris (helmeted guineafowl). Its description in RNAcentral is "lncRNA (ENSNMEG00000020295.1)". The record is from RNAcentral. Lineage: Eukaryota; Metazoa; Chordata; Aves; Galliformes; Numididae.